GAUGAACGCUGGCGGCGUGCCUAAUACAUGCAAGUCGAGCGAACGGACGAGAAGCUUGCUCCUCUGAUGUUAGCGGCGGACGGGUGAGUAACACGUGGAUAACCUACCUAUAAGACUGGGAUAACUUCGGGAAACCGGAGCUAAUACCGGAUAAUAUUUUGAACCGCAUGGUUCAAAAGUGAAAGACGGUCUUGCUGUCUCUUAUAGAUGGAUCCGCGCUGCAUUAGCUAGUUGGUAAGGUAACGGCUUACCAAGGCAACGAUGCAUAGCCGACCUGAGAGGGUGAUCGGCCACACUGGAACGGGAACACGGACCAGACGACUACGGGAGGCAGCAGUAGGGAAUGUUCCGCAAUAGGCGGAAGCCUGACGGAGCAACGCCGCGUGAGUGAUGAAGGUCUUCGGUUCGGAAAACUCUGUUAUUAGUGAAGAACAUAUGUGUAAGUAACUGUGCACAUCUUGACGGUACCUAAUCAGAAAGCCACGGCUAACUACGUG
This 497-nucleotide ribosomal RNA is filed under the name uncultured bacterium. Its description in RNAcentral is "partial 16S ribosomal RNA". It matches the Rfam family "Bacterial small subunit ribosomal RNA", at positions 28 to 507 of the family's 1533-position model. The record is from RNAcentral.